AGUGAACGCUGGCGGUAGGCCUAACACAUGCAAGUCGAACGGCAGCACAGUAAGAGCUUGCUCUUACGGGUGGCGAGUGGCGGACGGGUGAGGAAUACAUCGGAAUCUACUUUUUCGUGGGGGAUAACGUAGGGAAACUUACGCUAAUACCGCAUACGACCUACGGGUGAAAGCAGGGGAUCUUCGGACCUUGCGCGAUUGAAUGAGCCGAUGUCGGAUUAGCUAGUUGGCGGGGUAAAGGCCCACAAAGGCGACGAUCCGUAGCUGGUCUGAGAGGAUGAUCGGCCACACUGGAACUGAGACACGGUCCAGACUCCUACGGGAGGCAGCAGUGGGGAAUAUUGGACAAUGGGCGCAAGCCUGAUCCAGCCAUACCGCGUGGGUGAAGAAGGCCUUCGGGUUGUAAAGCCCUUUUGUUGGGAAAGAAAAGCAGCAGGUUAAUACCACGCUGUUCUGACGGUACCCAAAGAAUAAGCACCGGCUAACUUCGUG
This 492-nucleotide ribosomal RNA is filed under the name uncultured bacterium. RNAcentral describes it as "partial 16S ribosomal RNA". It matches the Rfam family "Bacterial small subunit ribosomal RNA", at positions 29 to 507 of the family's 1533-position model. The record is from RNAcentral.